RNAcentral lists this ribosomal RNA (273 nucleotides) under uncultured prokaryote. RNAcentral describes it as "partial 16S ribosomal RNA". It matches the Rfam family "Bacterial small subunit ribosomal RNA", at positions 524 to 798 of the family's 1533-position model. The record is from RNAcentral.
UACGUAGGGGCUAGCGUUAUCCAGAAUUACUGGGCGUAAAGGGUGCGUAGGUGGUUUCUUAAGUCAGAGGUGAAAGGCUACGGCUCAACCGUAGUAAGCCUUUGAAACUGGGAAACUUGAGUGCAGGAGAGGAGAGUGGAAUUCCUGGUGUAGCGGUGGAAUGCGCAGAUAUCAGGAGGAACACCGAUGGCGAAGGCAGGUCUCUGGGCAGUAACUGACGCUGAGGAGCGAAAGCAUGGGUAGCGAACAGGAUUAGAUACCCCGGUAGUCCCU